This 228-nucleotide small RNA is filed under the name Saimiri boliviensis boliviensis (Bolivian squirrel monkey). RNAcentral describes it as "Metazoan signal recognition particle RNA (ENSSBOG00000001423.1)". Lineage: Eukaryota; Metazoa; Chordata; Mammalia; Primates; Cebidae. The record is from RNAcentral.
GCUGGGCAUGGUGGCGCAUGCCUGUAAUCCCAGCUACUCAGGAGGCCGAGACAGGAGAAUUGCCUGAGCCCAGGAGGCGGAGGUUGCGGUGAGCCGAGAUCGCGCCAUUGCACUCCAACGUGGGUAACAAGAGCAAAACCCCGUCUCAAAAAAGAGAGUUUGAGGCUGCAAUGAGCUAUGAUUAUACCAUUGCACUCCAGCCUGGGCAACACAGCAAGACCCAGUCUC